AUGAACUUAAACCCAACACUGCAGGUUGGGAUAUUUACAUCUUAAAUCCAGGUUACAGGAAAAUCGACUGUGGAACUCCAAAAGACAUUUCUGGUACAUU
Long non-coding RNA from Octopus sinensis (East Asian common octopus), 100 nucleotides. RefSeq lists it as uncharacterized. The record is from RefSeq and is a predicted model, not a curated record. The transcript is spliced from 3 exons. Lineage: Eukaryota; Metazoa; Mollusca; Cephalopoda; Octopoda; Octopodidae.